Molecule: ribosomal RNA, 249 nt
Filed under: uncultured bacterium
Lineage: Bacteria
Description: partial 16S ribosomal RNA
Rfam family: Bacterial small subunit ribosomal RNA
Source: RNAcentral
GACAGAGGUGGCAAGCGUUGUUCGGAAUUAUUGGGCUUAAAGGGCGCGUAGGCGGUGGUGUAAGUCUGAGGUGGAAUCCUGCAGCUUAACUGUGGGACUGCCUUGGAAACUGCAUCACUUGAGUCAAGCAGGGGAAGGCGGAAUUCCGAGUGUAGGGUGAAAUCCGUAGAUAUUCGGAGGAACACCAGUGGCGAAGGCGGCUUUCUGGACCAAUACUGACGCUGAGACGCGAAAGCGUGGGGAGCAAAC